This 264-nucleotide ribosomal RNA is filed under the name uncultured bacterium. Its description in RNAcentral is "partial 16S ribosomal RNA". It matches the Rfam family "Bacterial small subunit ribosomal RNA", at positions 793 to 1055 of the family's 1533-position model. The record is from RNAcentral.
GUCCACGCUGUAAACGAUAGAUACUCGCUGUUGCUGGUAAUCAAUCCGGCAGUGGCUUAGCUAACGCGUUAAGUAUCUCGCCUGGGAAGUACGGUCGCAAGAUUAAAACUCAAAGGAAUUGACGGGGACCCGCACAAGCGGUGGAUUAUGUGGUUUAAUUCGAAGCAACGCGCAAAACCUUACCUGGCCUUGACAUGCCUUUGACCGGUGCAGAAAUGUACCUUUCCUUCGGGACAGAGGACACAAGUGCUGCAUGGCUGUCGU